Molecule: ribosomal RNA, 483 nt
Filed under: uncultured bacterium
Lineage: Bacteria
Description: bacterial SSU rRNA
Rfam family: Bacterial small subunit ribosomal RNA
Source: RNAcentral
AUCAACGCUGGCGGCGUGCCUCAGACAUGCAAGUCGAACGAUUAAACUUUCCUUCGGGAAAGAUAUAAAGUGGCGCACGGGUGAGUAACACGUAAGUAAUCUACCUUCGAGUGGGGAAUAACGUUCGGAAACGAACGCUAAUACCGCAUAAUGCAGCGGCACCUAAUGGUGACAGUUGUUAAAGGAGCAAUUCGCUUGAAGAGGAGCUUGCGGCAGAUUAGCUAGUUGGUAAGGUAACGGCUUACCAAGGCUACGAUCUGUAACCGGUCUAAGAGGACGGUCGGUCACACUGACACUGAAUAACGGGUCAGACUCCUACGGGAGGCAGCAGUCGGGAAUUUUGGGCAAUGGGCGAAAGCCUGACCCAGCAACGCCGCGUGAAGGAUGAAGUAUUUCGGUAUGUAAACUUCGAAAGAAUGGGAAGAAUCAAUGACGGUACCAUUUAUAAGGUCCGGCUAACUACGUGCCAGCCGCCGCCGUAAG